RNAcentral lists this ribosomal RNA (468 nucleotides) under uncultured bacterium. RNAcentral's name for it is "partial 16S ribosomal RNA". It matches the Rfam family "Bacterial small subunit ribosomal RNA", at positions 28 to 507 of the family's 1533-position model. The record is from RNAcentral.
GACGAACGCUGGCGGCGUGCUUAACACAUGCAAGUCGAACGGAAAGGCCCUGCUUUUGUGGGGUGCUCGAGUGGCGAACGGGUGAGUAGCACGUGAGUAACCUGCCCUUGACUUUGGGAUAACUUCAGGAAACUGGGGCUAAUACCGGAUAGGAGCUCCUGCUGCAUGGUGGGGGUUGGAAAGUUUCGGCGGUUGGGGAUGGACUCGCGGCUUAUCAGCUUGUUGGUGGGGUAGUGGCUUACCAAGGCUUUGACGGGUAGCCGGCCUGAGAGGGUGACCGGCCACAUUGGGACUGAGAUACGGCCCAGACUCCUACGGGAGGCAGCAGUGGGGAAUAUUGCACAAUGGGCGGAAGCCUGAUGCAGCAACGCCGCGUGCGGGAUGACGGCCUUCGGGUUGUAAACCGCUUUCGCCCGUGACGAAGCGUGAGUGACGGUAAUGGGUAAAGAAGCACCGGCUAACUACGUG